UACGGAGGGUGCGAGCGUUAUCCGGAAUUACUGGGUUUAAAGGGUGCGUAGGCGGCUUUGUAAGUCAGGAGUGAAAGUUUGCAGCUCAACUGUAAAAUUGCUUCUGAUACUGCAGAGCUGGAAUCAGGAUGAGGUCAGCGGAAUGUGGCAUGUAGCGGUGAAAUGCAUAGAUAUGCCAUAGAACACCAAUUGCGAAGGCAGCUGGCUAGACCUGUAUUGACGCUGAGGCACGAAAGCGUGGGGAGCGAACAGG
RNAcentral lists this ribosomal RNA (253 nucleotides) under uncultured bacterium. RNAcentral describes it as "partial 16S ribosomal RNA". It matches the Rfam family "Bacterial small subunit ribosomal RNA", at positions 524 to 776 of the family's 1533-position model. The record is from RNAcentral.